UUUAUAUUGGAACUCAAACAUCAAUAUCGAGGUCUUGCCCUCACUCUCAAAGCACAUACCAUUUUUGUUGAAGUCCAGUAGAUGAACUAUUUUACAUUCAAACACACAAGUUUUAAAAAAAAAGUGACACAUAAUCCAUUCAUUUAGCACCACAUGGAACCAGAAUUAGCAACUGCCAAAUUGUACACAGAAUACAAUUCUAUGCUGCUUAUUCAGAGACCUAAACCUUACUCACUAUACAACUAAACC
This 249-nucleotide long non-coding RNA is filed under the name Nicotiana benthamiana. Its description in RNAcentral is "long non-coding RNA (NBEN_LNC001250)". Lineage: Eukaryota; Viridiplantae; Streptophyta; Magnoliopsida; Solanales; Solanaceae. The record is from RNAcentral.